AGAGUUUGAUCCUGGCUCAGAACGAACGCUGGCGGCGUGCUUAAUACAUGCAAGUCGAACGAGAAAGUCACCUUCGGGUGGCGAGUAAAGUGGCAAACGGGUGAGUAACACGUAAGCAACCUACCCAUAAGUUUGGGACAACACUGCUAACGCGGUGCUAAUACCGGAUGUGAACAAUUUUUUGCAUGAUUAAUUGUUUAAAGACUUCGGUCGAUUAUGGAUGGGCUUGCGGACCAUUAGCUUGUUGGUGGGGUAACGGCCUACCAAGGCUUCGAUGGUUAGCCGACCUGAGAGGGUGAUCGGCCACAUUGGGACUGAGAUACGGCCCAGACUCCUACGGGAGGCAGCAGUAGGGAAUUUUGCGCAAUGGACGAAAGUCUGACGCAGCAACGCCGCGUGAGCGAUGAAUGUCUUCGGAUUGUAAAGCUCUGUUGAGUGGGAAGAAAAGCUUCGGUAUGACGGUACCACUCGAGGAAGCCCGGCUAAUUACGUGCCAGCAGCCGCGGUAAUACGUAAGGGGCAAGCGUUGUUCGGAAUCACUGGGCGUAAAGGGAGCGCAGGCGGAUAAGUAAGUUAGGAGUUAAAGACGGCGGCUCAACCGUCGACCUGCUCUUAAUACUGCUUGUCUUGAGUACAGAAGAGGAAGACGGAAUUCCAGGUGUAGCGGUGGAAUGCGUAGAUAUCUGGAAGAACACCAGUUGCGUAGGCGGUCUUCUGGUCUGAUACUGACGCUCAUGCUCGAAAGCUAGGGGAGCAAACAGGAUUAGAUACCCUGGUAGUCCUAGCCGUAAACGAUGGACACUAGUUGUCGGAGGAGUCAAUCCUUUCGGUGACGAAGCUAACGCAUUAAGUGUCCCGCCUGGGGAGUACGCUCGCAAGGGUGAAACUCAAAGGAAUUGACGGGGGCCCGCACAAGCGGUGGAGCAUGUGCUUUAAUUCGAUGCAACGCGAAGAACCUUACCUGGGUUUGACAUGGGGGUGCAACUCUUUGGAGACAGAGAGCCUUCCCUCGGGAACACCCUACACAGGUGCUGCAUGGUUGUCGUCAGCUCGUGUCGUGAGAUGUUGGGUUAAGUCCCGCAACGAGCGCAACCCUCGCCCUUAGUUGCCAUCAGGUCAAGCUGGGAACUCUAGGGGGACUGCUUGGUAUAACCAGGAGGAAGGUGGGGAUGACGUCAAAUCAUCAUGGCCCUUACGCCCAGGGCUAGACACGUGCUACAAUGGCCAGUACAGCGGGAUGCUACACUGCAAGGUGACGCUAAUCCCUUAAAACUGGUCUCAGUUCGGAUUGGAGUCUGCAACUCGACUCCAUGAAGGUGGAAUCGCUAGUAAUCGCGGAUCAGCAUGCCGCGGUGAAUACGUUCCCAGGCCUUGUACACACCGCCCGUCAAGCCAUGAAAGACGGUAGUGCCCAACGUCGUUCCUCUAACCGCAAGGAAGAGUGCGCCUAAGGUAAGACCGUUGAUUGGGGCUAAGUCGAAACAAGGUA
RNAcentral lists this ribosomal RNA (1489 nucleotides) under metagenome. Its description in RNAcentral is "bacterial SSU rRNA". It matches the Rfam family "Bacterial small subunit ribosomal RNA". The record is from RNAcentral.